AACGAACGCUGGCGGCAGGCUUAACACAUGCAAGUCGAGCGCCCCGCAAGGGGAGCGGCAGACGGGUGAGUAACGCGUGGGAAUCUACCGUACCCUACGGAAUAGCUCCGGGAAACUGGAAUUAAUACCGUAUACGCCCUACGGGGGAAAGACUUAUCGGGGUAUGAUGAGCCCGCGUUGGAUUAGCUAGUUGGUGGGGUAAAGGCCUACCAAGGCGACGAUCCAUAGCUGGUCUGAGAGGAUGAUCAGCCACAUUGGGACUGAGACACGGCCCAAACUCCUACGGGGGGCAGCAGUGGGGAAUAUUGGACAAUGGGCGCAAGCGUGAUCCAGCCAUGCCGCGUGAGUGAUGAAGGUCUUAGGAUUGUAAAGCUCUUUCACCGAUGAAGAUAAUGACGGUAGUCGGAGAAGAAGCCCCGGCUAACUUCGUGCCAGCAGCCGCAGUAA
This 447-nucleotide ribosomal RNA is filed under the name uncultured bacterium. Its description in RNAcentral is "partial 16S ribosomal RNA". It matches the Rfam family "Bacterial small subunit ribosomal RNA", at positions 29 to 523 of the family's 1533-position model. The record is from RNAcentral.